RNAcentral lists this ribosomal RNA (403 nucleotides) under Verrucomicrobiota bacterium. Its description in RNAcentral is "Verrucomicrobia bacterium partial 16S ribosomal RNA". It matches the Rfam family "Bacterial small subunit ribosomal RNA", at positions 355 to 776 of the family's 1533-position model. Lineage: Bacteria; Pseudomonadati; Verrucomicrobiota. The record is from RNAcentral.
UGGGGAAUAUUGCACAAUGGGGGAAACCCUGAUGCAGCGACGCCGCGUGAGCGAAGAAGGCUUUCGAGUCGUAAAGCUCUGUCCUAUGAGAAGAUAAUGACGGUAUCAUAGGAGGAAGCCCUGGCUAAAUACGUGCCAGCAGCCGCGGUAAUACGUAUGGGGCGAGCGUUGUCCGGAAUUAUUGGGCGUAAAGGGUACGUAGGUGGUUUUUUAAGUCAGGUGUCAAAGCUUGGAGCUUAACUCCAUUAAGCACUUGAAACUGAAAGACUUGAGUGAAGGAGAGGAAAGUGGAAUUCCUAGUGUAGCGGUGAAAUGCGUAGAUAUUAGGAGGAAUACCGGUGGCGAAGGCGACUUUCUGGACUUUUACUGACGCUCAGGUACGAAAGCGUGGGGAGCAAACAGG